AAUCAACGCUGGCGGCGUGCCUCAGACAUGCAAGUCGAACGCGAAAUUUCCCUUCGGGGAGAAAGUAGAGUGGCGCACGGGUGAGUAACACGUAGGUAAUCUACCUUUGGGUGGGGAAUAACAGCCGGAAACGGCUGCUAAUACCGCAUAAUGCAGCGGCUCGACAUCGAGACAGUUGUUAAAGCGGGGGACCGGAGCAAUCCGACCUCGCGCCUUAAGAGGAGCCUGCGGCAGAUAGCUAGUUGGCAGGGUAAUGGCCUACCAAGGCAACGAUCUGUAACCGGCCUGAGAGGGCGGUCGGUCACACUGACACUGACAUACGGGUCAGACUCCUACGGGAGGCAGCAGUUCGGGAAUUUUGGGCAAUGGGCGAAAGCCUGACCCAGCAACGCCGCGUGAAGGAUGAAAUUUUCGGAAUGUAAACUUCGCAAGAAUGGGAAGAAUAAGUAGGGACAAUACCCCUAUGAUGACGGUACCAUUUGUAAGCUCCGGCUAACUCCGUGCCAGCCGCCGCCGUAAC
Molecule: ribosomal RNA, 520 nt
Filed under: uncultured bacterium
Lineage: Bacteria
Description: bacterial SSU rRNA
Rfam family: Bacterial small subunit ribosomal RNA
Source: RNAcentral